Molecule: small RNA, 97 nt
Filed under: Kaistella jeonii
Lineage: Bacteria; Pseudomonadati; Bacteroidota; Flavobacteriia; Flavobacteriales; Weeksellaceae
Description: Chryseobacterium jeonii Flavo-1 RNA
Rfam family: Flavo-1 RNA
Source: RNAcentral
UCGGACAAGCGAUUGUAAUGGAAAUCCUUUUUUAUUUUUUUGAAAGGCAAAAGCGCAGGCAAAAUAAAAAAGAUUGAAAUGGAAAGCGCGGUCUCGU